This 352-nucleotide long non-coding RNA is filed under the name Salvia miltiorrhiza (redroot sage). RNAcentral describes it as "long non-coding RNA (SMIL_LNC013013)". Lineage: Eukaryota; Viridiplantae; Streptophyta; Magnoliopsida; Lamiales; Lamiaceae. The record is from RNAcentral.
AAUCACUGCGCAAGGCCGCGCGAGGUCGCGCGGUCCAGGCGCGCGGCCGCGCGACCCAGCCGCGCGACGGAGCAGACCUUGCUGGAGGAGCGCGCGGGCUCGGCGCGCGGGCGCGCGAGAAGGCCGCGCGAGGGCAUGCGGUCUCGGCGCGCGGCCGCGCGACCCGGCCGCGCGAGACGCCGAGUUUCCGCCCUAAAUUCGUUUUUCAGCCUUUUUACGCGAUUUUGGGUAUUUUUGAGUCCUACUUGACCUAGGACAUAUAAAUACUCCCCAAUAACUUAUUCUAAGAACCUUUUAUCAGCUUAUAUCAUAUUUUACUUUUCCUGAGAGCUGAGAGAGACGGAGAACGGAG